GACGAACGCUGGCGGCGUGCUUAACACAUGCAAGUCGAACGGAAAGGCCCUGCUUUUGUGGGGUGCUCGAGUGGCGAACGGGUGAGUAACACGUGAGUAACCUGCCCUUGACUUUGGGAUAACUUCAGGAAACUGGGGCUAAUACCGGAUAGGAGCUCCUGCUGCAUGGUGGGGGUUGGAAAGUUUCGGCGGUUGGGGAUGGACUCGCGGCUUAUCAGCUUGUUGGUGGGGUAGUGGCUUACCAAGGCUUUGACGGGUAGCCGGCCUGAGAGGGUGACCGGCCACAUUGGGACUGAGAUACGGCCCCGACUCCUACGGGAGGCAGCAGUGGGGAAUAUUGUACAAUGGGCGGAAGCCUGAUGCAGCAACGCCGCGUGCGGGAUGACGGCCUUCGGGUUGUAAACCGCUUUCGCCUGUGACGAAGCGUGAGUGACGGUAAUGGGUAAAGAAGCACCGGCUAACUACGUG
RNAcentral lists this ribosomal RNA (468 nucleotides) under uncultured bacterium. Its description in RNAcentral is "partial 16S ribosomal RNA". It matches the Rfam family "Bacterial small subunit ribosomal RNA", at positions 28 to 507 of the family's 1533-position model. The record is from RNAcentral.